Molecule: ribosomal RNA, 275 nt
Filed under: uncultured bacterium
Lineage: Bacteria
Description: partial 16S ribosomal RNA
Rfam family: Bacterial small subunit ribosomal RNA
Source: RNAcentral
CCUACGGGUGGCUGCAGUGGGGAAUCUUGCGCAAUGGGCGAAAGCCUGACGCAGCGACGCCGCGUGCGGGAGGAAGCCCCUCGGGGUGUAAACCGCUGUCAGGAGGGAAGAAUGGGCGCGGGAGGAAAUGCCUGCGUUUUGACGGUACCUCCAAAGGAAGCACCGGCUAACUCUGUGCCAGCAGCCGCGGUAAUACAGAGGGUGCGAGCGUUGUUCGGAAUUACUGGGCGUAAAGCGCGCGCAGGCGGUCCUUUAAGUCUACCCGUGAAAUGCCG